This 1105-nucleotide unclassified non-coding RNA is filed under the name Hevea brasiliensis (rubber tree). The record is from RNAcentral. Lineage: Eukaryota; Viridiplantae; Streptophyta; Magnoliopsida; Malpighiales; Euphorbiaceae.
AAAAUUCAGAGAAAUCAUUUAUCUGCAACAUGAAUACAACUUUCUAACCACACUUGAACUAAUAAAACGUAGUGUGGUAAGGUAAACCAGCUAUAAGUUAACCAUUUUCCCACGAAUUAAGAAAGGCCUAUAUUGAAUGAAUUCACAUUAGCAAAUUUACAAACAUAUAUACUUCAGAUCUUAUAAAUAAUAAGGGAAAAAAAAAAGAGGGGCAUAAGGGGCAUAAAAUAACAUCAAUUCAAGAUUCAUCAUCUAACCAGAGAAAAUCGCUGCUACUAUGUGCCACCAACCCGCAACUUCUCUGCGGUGCCCGAAAAAUAUCACCAUCGCGAAAUUCAAACUGCAGAGAAAUAACACAUCCAAUUCAAUUCACCGCCCGGCUAAGGAAAAACCUUAAACGCGAGAGUACCCAGCUCUUGUGGGGCUACCCACAACCGAAAACAACCCCCCAUCUCCCACAUCUUGCUCGUCCAAGUACAAAUCUUCCGUUCCUCUAAUUGCAGCGUGUAAGACAACAAUUGCAAGCCCAAUCAAGAUGGAAACCAAGACGUUCAACCACACGUGCGUGAGAACCAAGGCCACAAUAGUGACAACAGCGAGCACGCCCAGCACCACACGAUCAUCAAUCGUGCGAUGGAAAAUGACAAGCGGCUCGUCCCGGAAAAAGUAGAGGAAAAACCAGGCUACGAAGACGAUUAAGAACACAAUCAUGGAUAAUGGGUGCCAUAGAAGGCUGAGGAAGAGAAUUAAGAGAAUGAUCAUCGUAUAAUUCACACGAAAGUAGAAAAGGUUACGCUUUAUGCGUGCGUUGGCUUCACCGAAGGAGUAAGGGCGCGUGAAGGAGGAGAACUGGAUGAGCUCGCGCCAUGGGCGGCGCGUAGCGAAGAAAGAGGUAGAGGCGGCGUUGGUGGCGCGUGAGAAGAAGGUGGAAGGGGUGGUUCUCGAGGGUAGGGAACCGAAGGGGGAGCGAGAAGGUGCAGACAUUAGAGAUGAGAAAGGGAAACCCUAGGAGAGAGAACUGAAGGAAGAAUUGCUAUAGUUUCACAGUGAGAGGCAGCUUAAAGCAGCCUAACUGAUCGUUUCUUUGGGGAUAGUCGAAGAGAAG